GGGUCUGAAAGUACAGAUCAAGUUGUUAGACUCCUGAAUCCCUAACCACACUCUGAAGAAACUAUGAACAAACACAGUAUAAAGUCACAUUUCUUCCUAAAAGACUAUUAGUUACCCAAAUCUCCUGUUUCAAAUUUACAGGUCAGCAGGCGCUUAUUUCAGUCAAAUGGGUCAGUCCAUUCACAGACAAGACUUAAGAAAAUAUUACCUUUCUACUUAAAGAUUCCAGGAAUUGCACUUUCUGGGCCCAAAGCCUCCCUGCCUGCCCUCACACCUUUUCUACAGCUGCUGGGUCAGACUGAAGCCUGGGGCCGGCCUACACCUCUGCCUUCGAGUCUUAUCUUCAGUUGCCUGGGCUGCCUUCGGCCGGAGGCCCGCCUACCUGCCCAUGCGCCGUUCUUCAGCAGCCCGGCUGCCCGGCUGCCCGCCAUCAGCAGGCCCACAGCAAGAGUGACGGCCAUAUCGGAGUGGCGAGCAGCAGAGAGAGAGCCUCUCCGAGGCUAAUGGCUGAGAAUUGAAGCCCACCGGGAGAGCGAAGAUAGUCACUGCAAUAAAAGACCCAGCAGACUACAGCGGUUGAAGAUAGACCUCAACUGGGGAUCUGCUAAGCUGUUUGUGAAAAUGACUCUGUACACAGACUGAAACACCCAGAGAAUCUGCACCCUCAUGAAGCUAAAGUUAGAUAGAAUGAAACUCAAGUUGAGUAUCCUAAGUUCUGCACCAGAAAUGAAUUCUUUCUACAAGAAGAUUUUUCAGAUAUCCACUAUCCAGGCAUUCUGCUACAUGUUUCUAGAACCUGAUUUUUCUGCAUUUGAAUUCAGAUUACUCAAUAUUCUGUGAAGAUGAAAGGGCUUAGACCCCAGAAAGCCCUGCACCUGCAAAAGAGACGACUGACAGAUAGGAUGGAAGUUCAUUGGCUUUUAAAUAAACUUUGCUGGAAAGCCUAAGGCUUGCUUUAUUCCUGCCUCCGAAGUUUCAAAGGAAAAGUUUCUCCCUGCCAAAUCCCAGGACAAAGAGUAAAUGACCUGCCUAUUCUCUGUCUCUGAGCAAAAGAGCCUGAAGGGACAUGGCACUGGUUGAAAUAAACUUAAUGUGAAGGUUCUGCAGGAAAGUAAAACCUGACUCUGAUGUUGCUCCUGAUUCACUUGUCAAACUCCCCUUGUAGCUUUCUCAGUUGGUGAUUUAAUUCCUCCUUUCCUUUUGUAAUGUUCCUGCCCACCUUCAUUCUGCAUUCUAGUACAUUUGGAAUAAAGACCUGUGCUGAUAGGUUCCUCCAGUUCAAUCUCAAGGCUUCAUGCUGGAAUGCUUCUGGUCUCUCCUCCUCAACACACUUAUAUGUACACAACAGGGUAAGUCCCUGUCAGUGUAGAGAUACCCUGACUU
Molecule: non-coding RNA, 1383 nt
Organism: Heterocephalus glaber (naked mole-rat)
Lineage: Eukaryota; Metazoa; Chordata; Mammalia; Rodentia; Bathyergidae
Source: RefSeq, a predicted model, not a curated record